AAAAAAGGUAAGCUACUAAGAGCGAAUGGUGGAUGCCUUGACUGGUAAAGGCGAUGAAGGACGUACUAGACUGCGAUAAGCUACGGGGAGCUGUCAAGAAGCUUUGAUCCGUAGAUUUCCGAAUGGGGCAACCCAAUGUAUAGAGAUAUACAUUACCUAUAUAGGAGCGAACGAGGGGAAUUGAAACAUCUUAGUACCCUCAGGAAAAGAAAUCAAUAGAGAUUGCGUCAGUAGCGGCGAGCGAAAGCGCAAGAGGGCAAACCCAGUGCUUGCACUGGGGGUUGUAGGACUGCAAUGUGCAAGAGCUGAGUUUAGCAGAACAUUCUGGAAAGUAUAGCCAUAGAGGGUGAUAGUCCCGUAUGCGAAAAACAAAGCUUAGCUAGCAGUAUCCUGAGUAGGGCGGGACACGAGGAAUCCUGUCUGAAUCCGGGUCGACCACGAUCCAACCCUAAAUACUAAUACCAGAUCGAUAGUGCACAAGUACCGUGAGGGAAAGGUGAAAAGAACUGAGGUGAUCAGAGUGAAAUAGAACCUGAAACCAUUUGCUUACAAUCAUUCAGAGCACUAUGUAGCAAUACAGUGUGAUGGACUGCCUUUUGCAUAAUGAGCCUGCGAGUUGUGGUGUCUGGCAAGGUUAAGCAAACGCGAAGCCGUAGCGAAAGCGAGUCUGAAUAGGGCGCUUAGUCAGAUGCUGCAGACCCGAAACGAAGUGAUCUAUCCAUGAGCAAGUUGAAGCUAGUGUAAGAACUAGUGGAGGACUGAACCCAUAGGCGUUGAAAAGCCCCGGGAUGACUUGUGGAUAGGGGUGAAAGGCCAAUCAAACUUCGUGAUAGCUGGUUCUCUCCGAAAUAUAUUUAGGUAUAGCGUUGUGUCGUAAUAUAAGGGGGUAGAGCACUGAAUGGGCUAGGGCAUACACCAAUGUACCAAACCCUAUCAAACUCCGAAUACCUUAUAUGUAAUCACAGCAGUCAGGCGGCGAGUGAUAAAAUCCGUCGUCGAGAGGGAAACAACCCAGACUACCAGCUAAGGUCCCUAAAUCUUACUUAAGUGGAAAACGAUGUGAAGUUACUUAAACAACCAGGAGGUUGGCUUAGAAGCAGCCAUCCUUUAAAGAAAGCGUAAUAGCUCACUGGUCUAGUGAUUUUGCGCGGAAAAUAUAACGGGGCUAAAGUAAGUACCGAAGCUGUAGACUUGCACACAACUUAGAUUAUUUAAGUUUAGAAUAUGAGAAACUAAGUUAUGUUUAGUUAUAUUUUUACUGAUUUUUAUAGAGUAAAGAUAGAAAUAAAACUUAGUAAAAUCAGUAAAAAUAUUCUUAGGCUAAAGUUAAGUAGUUUAAGUUGUGUGCAAGUGGUAGGAGAGCGUUCUAUUUGCGUCGAAGGUAUACCGGUAAGGAGUGCUGGAGCGAAUAGAAGUGAGCAUGCAGGCAUGAGUAGCGAUAAUUAAUGUGAGAAUCAUUAACGCCGUAAACCCAAGGUUUCCUACGCGAUGCUCGUCAUCGUAGGGUUAGUCGGGUCCUAAGUCGAGUCCGAAAGGGGUAGACGAUGGCAAAUUGGUUAAUAUUCCAAUACCAACAUUAGUGUGCGAUGGAAGGACGCUUAGGGCUAAGGGGGCUAGCGGAUGGAAGUGCUAGUCUAAGGUCGUAGGAGGUUAUACAGGCAAAUCCGUAUAACAAUACUCCGAGAACUGAAAGGCUUUUUGAAGUCUUCGGAUGGAUAGAAGAACCCCUGAUGCCGUCGAGCCAAGAAAAGUUUCUAAGUUUAGCUAAUGUUGCCCGUACCGUAAACCGACACAGGUGGGUGGGAUGAGUAUUCUAAGGCGCGUGGAAGAACUCUCUUUAAGGAACUCUGCAAAAUAGCACCGUAUCUUCGGUAUAAGGUGUGGUUAGCUUCGUACUAGGAUUUACUCCGAAAGCGAAGAAACUUACAACAAAGAGUCCCUCCCGACUGUUUACCAAAAACACAGCACUCUGCUAACUCGU
RNAcentral lists this ribosomal RNA (1981 nucleotides) under Campylobacter jejuni. RNAcentral describes it as "partial 23S ribosomal RNA". It matches the Rfam family "Bacterial large subunit ribosomal RNA", at positions 1 to 1834 of the family's 2925-position model. The record is from RNAcentral. Lineage: Bacteria; Pseudomonadati; Campylobacterota; Epsilonproteobacteria; Campylobacterales; Campylobacteraceae.